GCCCGUGUCCCCGGAAGUGUACGUCUGCGGUCACGGGGCGAGGCCGGCUCCCGGAAGACGCCGAUUUUAGCGUUUCCAAGGAGAUUAAAACGCCCUCGGGAAUACGGCUUACUUAAAGGAGAGCCUAAAGAGAAGCUAUUAUCUUCUCUGUGUGAGGAUUCUGAAGAUCUUUCACCCUUCAUCUCCGUUCUCUUGGUCAAGUUGAACCUUCCAGGGACUUGGAAGAAUGCGGCCGGUGGUCUGAAAUGGUGUUUAGCUGCAGCUCGGCUCUCUGAUCAGCUGAGGGGAUCUUCCACGGUUUGGCCAAACCUCCAUUUUCUCAUCUUUGGGGGUGGAAAAGCCUCAUCAUCAUCAAAUGGGGGUGAAAAAGCCUCCACUGUGAAAAAUCCUCGGGACUGCUGUGGAGUCCCCAGGAAUUGGUUUACAGAAUGGGGAAAUGCUUUAGAAAACACAGGAAGAGUGCUGCACGUGCAAGGGAUUGUGCUAGCUGAGUCCUUGGCCCAGGCAGCUCCUGGGAGUGAGGAAUGGGCUGGGGAAGGCGGGACACACAUCCUUGGGUGGGUUCUGCCUGAAACAGGAAACCUGGCCCCAGAGACGGGACUGCUUUGGAAACCAGCUGCAAGUGCUCUUCAGACAGCAGCAGCAUAGAUGAAAAUGGGGGUGCAACAGGGAAGGGUGGGCGAACCCUGUGGAAGCGGGGGAAUAGGGCACAGAACCCAGGUGGUCCUGCACAGUUUGGAGACUCACUGCCCCUGGGCACUGGGAGGUGGGGUAAUAGUACUAAGAAGUUAACCUUUGAGUUAGGGGGGCCUGGAUUCGAAACCUCCUCUGCCACGGCUGUCUGGGUGACCUUGGGAAAGUUGCUUCACCUCUCUGAGCUACAACUCUCUGGGCUGCUCAAUAACAAAUGGCGGAAAGCAGGUAGCAUGCACCAGAGUAAGCAAUUAUUUGCUGUUAAUUACUCCCAUUCCCCACCUCAGACACUCUUUGGUUGCUUUUCAGAACAGUUUAUAUCCAUUGUCCAUCUGAAGCAUGGAUAACCUGCCCAUUUCACAGAUUUUUCUCCUUCAUUUGAUUAACAGAUAUCAAGGUCUGCCAGGAAGCAAAUAGUCCCUGUCCUUGAAGAACUGCCUGCGUGUGCAUGUGUGUGUGUGUGUGUGUGUGUGAGAGAGAGAGAGAGAGAGAGGAGAGAGGAGAGAGGAAACUGUUACACCAUGUGGUCAAUGCUGUAAUUACGGUGACCAUGUUCUCCAAACCACAAAUCAGGUCACAUGGUCUGACAGAGGCUAUUUUCUGCCUCCACUGAAGUCCAAACGUGAAAUCACAUGUAGUUACACAUUCAUUGAAUCACCUUUUACUUUUUUAAGAAGCAAAUGACAUGAAAUUUGGAUUCUCUGUGACAAAUCCCACCAUAGUCCCAGAAAAUCACUAGAGCCGUGACCAAGUCCCAUAGAGAUCCCUGGCAGGAACAGGAAGACUUCCCAGAGGAGGUUCUGCUUAAGUGGGGCCUUGAAGGCUGAAUAGGAGGUCUCCAGGCAGGGAAAGAGGGGGUGAUCUUAAUGCCCUUGGGACAGGACCUACCUUUCCUGCUCUGUUAUAGACAACCCUGCUAAGACCUGGGGGUAGGGGCUAAAGUAGGCAACAGUGUCUAUUUUCAUUUACUUUUCACUUUCCUGUUCCAAAGACCUCCUGGGAAGCAGAAUUGUUUCAGGCCAGUAUAACAACAUGGUUACAUUGCAUCAUAUCUUCUGGUGCAUUUACAUGUUUGUCUCUGCAGUAGACCAUACAUUCCUUGAGGACAGGGGCCACAUCUGUCAUGUUCAUCUCUGUAUCCCUCUGCUUUUCCUCCCCCACCAGGAUGGUGUGAGGAAAACUAUAGGAGAGGUACUAAUCAAUGUCAAAUGACUAAAUGAAUGAAGUACCAUGGACGGGCAUGUUGUACGGAGGCAGUGUUCUUUGUUUUGUGAUGAAUCUGUUGACUUUCAUUUUAUCUGUUUAGUUAGCAAAUAUGUGCUGGUUGCCUGCCCUGUGCCUAGCUCUGUGUGGGGUUCCAGAGCUCAGCUGUGUCCGAGACAAAUGUGGUCCUGCUCACACACAGCUUACACUCUAGAGAGAGGCAGCCGACAAGUAACUACAAGAAUGAUGAAGAGGGAUUGUGACAUGUAGACCAGGAAGUGGUCUGGGUUAGGGACACAGGAAAAGCCCCAGGAGGAAAUGAAAUUUAACCUGAUACCCGCAAAAUAAAAAUUAACCAUUUAGCUAACAUUUUAAUAGUGCUUAUCAUGUGACAGACACCACUCUGAGGGCUUUACAUGUUUAACUCAUUUAAUUCUCACAAUUGUCCUAGGCAGUACAGACUAUUAUCCCAUUUUAGAGAUGUACACAGAAAGUUUGAAAAACUGACCCACAGGAACUUCCCUGCUGGCAAAGUGGUUAAGAAUCCACCUGCUAAUACAGGGGACAUGGGUUCGAGCCCUGGUCCAGGAAGAUCCCACAUGCCGCGGGGCAACUAAGCCCGUGCGCCACAACUAUUGAGCCUGCGCUCUAGAGCCUGCAAGCCACUACUACUGAGCCCGUGUGCCACAACUAAUGAAGCCCGCACACCUAGGGCCCGUGCUCCGCAACAAGGGAAGCCACCACAAUGAGAGGCCCACACACUGCAACAAAGAGUAGUCCCCACUCGCCACAACUAGAGAAAGCCUGCCUGCAGCAACAAAGACCCAACGAGCC
RNAcentral lists this long non-coding RNA (2730 nucleotides) under Balaenoptera musculus (blue whale). RNAcentral describes it as "lncRNA (ENSBMSG00010002233.1)". Lineage: Eukaryota; Metazoa; Chordata; Mammalia; Artiodactyla; Balaenopteridae. The record is from RNAcentral.